Molecule: ribosomal RNA, 263 nt
Filed under: uncultured Staphylococcus sp.
Lineage: Bacteria; Bacillati; Bacillota; Bacilli; Caryophanales; Staphylococcaceae
Description: partial 16S ribosomal RNA
Rfam family: Bacterial small subunit ribosomal RNA
Source: RNAcentral
CGGACGGGUGAGUAACACGUGGAUAACCUACCUAUAAGACUGGGAUAACUUCGGGAAACCGGAGCUAAUACCGGAUAAUAUAUUGAACCGCAUGGUUCAAUGGUGAAAGACGGUUUUGCUGUCACUUAUAGAUGGAUCCGCGCCGCAUUAGCUAGUUGGUAAGGUAACGGCUUACCAAGGCAACGAUGCGUAGCCGACCUGAGAGGGUGAUCGGCCACACUGGAACUGAGACACGGUCCAGACUCCUACGGGAGGCAGCAGUA